Caenorhabditis elegans is the source of this 149-nucleotide non-coding RNA. The record is from Ensembl. NCBI's taxonomy places the organism in Eukaryota, Metazoa, Nematoda, Chromadorea, Rhabditida, Rhabditidae.
AUCGAACUCCAUUACUGCCAAAUCAUCUCUACUCAAUUCAGAUAGUUCGAGCAUUUGAUAAGAUUCUGUAGCACAAAAUAACUACCACAAAAUCUUAUCUCUUGUAAGAACAUUAGAUAUUUGGUUAGAGGCCUAAAAUAUAAUUGUUA